Molecule: ribosomal RNA, 506 nt
Filed under: uncultured bacterium
Lineage: Bacteria
Description: partial 16S ribosomal RNA
Rfam family: Bacterial small subunit ribosomal RNA
Source: RNAcentral
AGUGAACGCUGGCGGUAGGCCUAACACAUGCAAGUCGAACGGCCGCACAGGAGAGCUUGCUCUCUGGGUGGCGAGUGGCGGACGGGUGAGGUAUACAUCGGAAUCUACUCUGUUGUGGGGGAUGACGACGGGAGACUUACGCUAAUACCGCAGACGACGUAAGGAAGAAAGCCGGGGACCUGCGGGCCUUGCGCGAGUGACUGAGCCGAUGUCGGAUUGGCUAGUUGGCGGGGUAAAGGACCACCAAGGCGACGAUUAGUAGGUGGUCUGAGGGGAUGAUCAGCGACGCUGAAACUGAGACACGGUCCAGACUCCUACGGGAGGCAGCAGUGGGGAAUAUUGGACAAUGGGCUCAAGCCUGAUCCAGACAGACCGCGUGGGUGAAGAAGGCCUUCGGGUUGUAAAGCCCUUUUGUUGGGAAAGAAAUCCAGCUGGCUAAUACCCGGUUGGGAUGACGGUACCCAAAGAAUAAGCACCGGCUAACUUCGUGCCAGCCGCCACGGUAA